GAUGAAGAACGUAGCGAAAUGCGAUAAGUAAUGUGAAUUGCAGAAUUCAGUGAAUCAUCGAAUCUUUGAACGCACAUUGCGCCCCCUGGUAUUCCGGGGGGCAUGCCUGUCCGAGCGUCAUUACAACCCUCAAGCUCAGCUUGGUGUUGGGCCCCGCCGCCCCGGCGGGCCCUAAAGUCAGUGGCGGUGCCGUCCGGCUCCGAGCGUAGUAAUUCUUCUCGCUCUGGAGGUCCGGUCGUGUGCUUGCCAGCAACCCCCAAUUUUUUUCAGGUUGACCUCGGAUCAGGUAGGGAUACCCGCUGAACUUAAGCAUAUCAUAGCGGAGGA
This 327-nucleotide unclassified non-coding RNA is filed under the name soil metagenome. RNAcentral describes it as "partial contains 5.8S ribosomal RNA, internal transcribed spacer 2, and large subunit ribosomal RNA". The stretch from base 1 to 120 matches the Rfam family "5.8S ribosomal RNA", at positions 35 to 154 of the family's 154-position model. The record is from RNAcentral.